Molecule: ribosomal RNA, 253 nt
Filed under: uncultured bacterium
Lineage: Bacteria
Description: partial 16S ribosomal RNA
Rfam family: Bacterial small subunit ribosomal RNA
Source: RNAcentral
UACGUAGGGGGCGAGCGUUGUCCGGAAUCACUGGGCGUAAAGGGCGCGUAGGCGGUUUGUUAAGUCAGAUGUGAAAGGUGAGGGCUCAACCCUUAGAAUGCAUCUGAUACUGGCAGACUUGAGUACAGAAGAGGAAAGCGGAAUUCCUAGUGUAGCGGUGAAAUGCGUAGAUAUUAGGAGGAACACCAGUGGCGAAGGCGGCUUUCUGGGCUGAAACUGACGCUGAGGCGCGAAAGCGUGGGGAGCAAACAGG